This 96-nucleotide non-coding RNA is filed under the name Pseudomonas delhiensis. The record is from RNAcentral. Lineage: Bacteria; Pseudomonadati; Pseudomonadota; Gammaproteobacteria; Pseudomonadales; Pseudomonadaceae.
AGCCAUGGCGGAUCGUGUGGGGCAGGCUUCGGCCUGGCCGGUUAUAUGCGCAUCAACGGUGCCGGUACUGCGACCCCCGCACGGUCCGCCGCCCUC